UGGGGGAUAUUGCACAAUGGGCGAAAGCCUGAUGCAGCGACGCCGCGUGGGGGAUGAAGGCCUUCGGGUUGUAAACUUCUUUUGCUCUGAACAAGGCAUGCUAAUGGGUGUGUUGAGUGUAGGGGUUGAUUAGCGCCGGCUAACUACGUGCCAUCAGCCGCGGUAAUACGUAGGGCGCGAGCGUUGUCCGGAAUUAUUGGGCGUAAAGGGCUUGUAGGUGGCUGGUUGCGUCUGUCGUGAAAGCUCAUGGCUUAACUGUGGGUUUGCGGUGGGUACGGGCUGGCUUGAGUGCAGUAGGGGAGGCUGGAAUUCCUGGUGUAGCGGUGAAAUGCGCAGAUAUCAGGAGGAAUACCGGUGGCGAAGGCGGGUCUCUGGGCUGUUACUGACACUGAGGAGCGAAAGCGUGGGGAGCGAACAGG
Molecule: ribosomal RNA, 419 nt
Filed under: bacterium
Lineage: Bacteria
Description: partial 16S ribosomal RNA
Rfam family: Bacterial small subunit ribosomal RNA
Source: RNAcentral